GGUUCUAUGGUGUAACGGUUAGCACUCCAGACUCUGAAUCUGGCGAUCUGGGUUCAAAUCCCGAUAAAACCU
Molecule: transfer RNA, 72 nt
Filed under: Perkinsus olseni
Lineage: Eukaryota; Perkinsozoa; Perkinsida; Perkinsidae
Rfam family: tRNA
About the family: Transfer RNA (tRNA) molecules are approximately 80 nucleotides in length. Their secondary structure includes four short double-helical elements and three loops (D, anti-codon, and T loops).
Source: Rfam by way of RNAcentral